This is a non-coding RNA of Bactrocera oleae (olive fruit fly), 946 nucleotides long. The record is from RefSeq and is a predicted model, not a curated record. Lineage: Eukaryota; Metazoa; Arthropoda; Insecta; Diptera; Tephritidae.
AUGACAAUAUUAUAAUUUUUUUCUUAUAGAAACGCUAACAAACGAGGCUUUGCACACUUGAGGAACACGAAGGAUCAAUUUUUAUUAGAGGAAUCCCUGUUUAGGAGAUAUUUUCGCUUUCCGAAAUCAUUGUGUUUGGAGCUUAUACAGGAUUUUAAACCUCCCGAUAAUCGUUCGAGGAGGUCAGCUUUUCCUUUUGAGAUUCGUUCGUUUCAGUGCUAAAUUUAUUUUGACAUACCAAUACAUACUGCAUUAGAAAUAGUCAUUUAUCUGCUAUGAGCCAGUCAGGCAUGUCCAGAAAUAUAAGACAAACAUAUGUAUGCAUAUGCAAACUUGUGAUGGAACAUAGAAAUGUGGAAAUAAGUUUCCUAAAUGCAACAGAGCAUUACAAUAUCAUUAAAAGGGGGAAAAGUAUAUACAUAGGAAAUAAUAGGUGAAGUGAAUUAAAACAUGUGUAUAAAAACAUAACUAUAUUUCUAGUUUCUAUAAUAAAUCCGGAAUUAAAGGAGUGAGUGGUGUUAUUGACUGCACUCAUAUUACAAUAAUUGCACCGUUUUCGUCGGCUAAUGUUAUACAACACGUAUCCAUGAACAGAAAGGGCUACUAUAGUAUUAACGUUGAGGCGAUUUUUGAUGACAAACUUAUUUUUCGUAAUUUGAAUGCGCGUUUUCCUGGCUCAUGCCAUGACUCCGGAAUUUAGAGAACAACUCCAGCCAGAAUAAAAGAAUUAAGAGGGUAUGUUUCUGGAUCGUUUUAAUAUUGUAGGUUUUUGAUGACUCAGGAUAUCCACUGAAGCUAUGACAUCUAAUUCCUACACCAAACCCAUAUCUACCAAAUGAAGUUCUUUAUAACAAAAUCCAUAUUAAGGCCAGGAACACUAUUGAAAGAGCAUUUGGAUUUGGAUUGUUAGAUUUUAUUUACUUAUAAAAACGGACUUAUUUAUAUA